GGGGUGUUAGCUCAGUUGGUAGAGCAGUGGACUCUUAAUCCAUAGGUCUAGGGUUCGAAUCCCUAACGCCCCACCA
Molecule: transfer RNA, 76 nt
Filed under: Rhodocyclaceae bacterium
Lineage: Bacteria; Pseudomonadati; Pseudomonadota; Betaproteobacteria; Rhodocyclales; Rhodocyclaceae
Also listed under: 1 other name
Description: tRNA-Lys
Rfam family: tRNA
About the family: Transfer RNA (tRNA) molecules are approximately 80 nucleotides in length. Their secondary structure includes four short double-helical elements and three loops (D, anti-codon, and T loops).
Source: RNAcentral